GGGCUCGCUUCGGCAGCACACAUACUGAAAUUGGAAUGAUACAGAGAAGAUUAGCGCGGCCCCUGCGCAAGGAUGACAUGCAAAUUCGUGAAGCGUUUCAUAUUCUU
RNAcentral lists this small nuclear RNA (107 nucleotides) under Octodon degus (degu). Lineage: Eukaryota; Metazoa; Chordata; Mammalia; Rodentia; Octodontidae. The record is from RNAcentral.